This 259-nucleotide ribosomal RNA is filed under the name uncultured bacterium. Its description in RNAcentral is "partial 16S ribosomal RNA". It matches the Rfam family "Bacterial small subunit ribosomal RNA", at positions 524 to 776 of the family's 1533-position model. The record is from RNAcentral.
UACGGAGGGUGCGAGCGUUGUCCGGAAUCAUUGGGCGUAAAGGGCGCGUAGGUGGCGGGACAAGCGUGCGGUGAAAGCGUCGGGGCUCAACCCCGCGUCGGCCAGUGCGAACUGUUUUGCUUGAGCACUGGUAGAGGCAGGCGGAAAUUCCGGGUGUAGCGGUGGAAAUGCGUAGAAGAUCCGGAAGAACACCGGUGGCGAAGGCGGCCUGCUGGGCAGUAGCUGACACUGAGGCGCGACAGCGUGGGGAGCAAACAGG